RNAcentral lists this long non-coding RNA (445 nucleotides) under Nicotiana benthamiana. Its description in RNAcentral is "long non-coding RNA (NBEN_LNC002315)". The record is from RNAcentral. Lineage: Eukaryota; Viridiplantae; Streptophyta; Magnoliopsida; Solanales; Solanaceae.
CAGUUCAGCAGAAACUAAUAAACUUCUUCGAAGAAGGUGAGGUAGGGCCGGUUUAGGAUGACCUUUUAGAGAAUGCACAAUACAAAAAUUGGUUCUGGUUAAGACCAUAUGAAUUCUUUGUGUCCUAGGAAAUACAGGCAGAUCUGUUUAUUUAAUAGAUCACUGCUUGAAGCAUAAGACAACAAAUAGGUGAAAGGAAUUGAGUCCCCAUAUCAGUUUGAUUGAUCGAACUACUUUUAAGCUCUGAUUGGGUAAAUUGACACAAUGUACUUACCAAAAACGAUUGAUUAAACACAGCUUAGGAGCAGAAGAAGACAAAUGGGUGAAAGGAUAUGAUUCCUCGAGCAGCUUAGCUAUAUUGGCUGAUCCAUACUCCAUAUAUUGGACUCUGAUCGGGUAAAAUGACAGCAUUUUGUUAACUGUAAUAGAUCAAAGUCACUUGAGA